ACGCGCCGCCGUGCCAGGGCUGCCGGCGCCGCGCCGCGCAGUUCGUGUGCGCCGGCUGCGCCAACCAGUGGUACUGCAGCCGCGACUGCCAGGUGGCAGCGUGGGACGACCACUCGGAGAUGUGUUCCGGGUAGCGUCCACAGCGUAACGUAGUGACAUUUGCCUUAUAACAUAUUGUCACCUAGGUGACACGUCACACAGGUGACUCGUGAAUCUCGGUGUCCGACCUUCGUGCAGCUAGAAAGGUCUAAUUUAUUUCAUCUUUGUACAAUGUAGCUGCAACUUUUGUAACCAAAAUAUUAUACAGUGAUGGAUUUGAGUUGGCUUUGAAGUUUUUGAAGAUUUAGGUACAUUUUUAGUUACUGGAUUUUUGAAAAUACCUGGAGACAGGUAUGCUAUUAUUUAAAAGUUUGUAUUGUCCUGUUUUUAGGCCCUGAAGUAUAAAUAAUAUAAAUUGGCAGCUACUAGAUAAAACUUAAAUGUAAUUUCAUCUAAAUAAAAAAAAUCUAUGAUUUUUAUGACGUUAUUUCGUUUAACCUUUUAACCGCCGUAGACUGAUAUAUAUAAGACAUACAAAAUCGGGUCAUUUUGCCGCGGUCUGAUAAAUAAGACAAAACAUCGUCCCGCCGGCGCCACGAGCAUGCUCGAUUUAAAAUUCAAUGACGGUUAAAAGGUUAAAAGCUUCCACAAAAACGAAAGCUCCAAAGCCACAAUUUAAAAACAUCACUGUCUUAUCCUAUGUAGUUAUUGAUUUUUCCUAUAUUAUAGUAGAGUGUCAAGCUUCUUCGCGCUCUUUAGAAAUGCUAUUUUCAACUAUUAGAUGUAGGAUAUAGUAUUUUUUCAAUGUGACUACUGAGUACUGACUACAAGAAUGUAGUGAAUAAUUUUCUAACGAAGCCCGUUUAUUUUUAUUUUUUGACAUUGGUUAUUUUGACAGUUUUUUGCGGUAAUGAAAUCCCGUGCACUCAGCUUUUGUGAUAUGUUCCUUUUGACACAAAUCAAUGAAAAAAUGAAAUGUUGACUAAAAAGUAAUCUAUCAACUAAAAACAAUAUUUUUAUUGUGUAAACCAGUAUAGACAAUAAAGUUUUUCUUUUCAAACAAAUACGACUAUACUCCAUUAAAAAUAGAUAUAUAUAAAUGCCCUAAGUGUAUUAUUACUAAGUUUUACAAUGGUAAAACAAUACAGAACCCGUAACCCAAUCAAAUGUAACGGUUGUAACGAUUUAAAUAAAAUUAUUUAAAUUAUUGACUGACUAUUUUGUGGUAUUUAUUUUAGGCACUGGUUAGUAAUGCUUAUAUUUUUACAUAUAGUCUGACAAAAAAGAGUAGAAAUUAAAAAGUGGCAAUAAUGUAGUGUCGUCCCUUUCAAGUCACUCUAUAAUUCUAUAUAAGAAAACGGGACGACACUACAGUAUUGCCACUUUAAUUUCUACUCUUUUUUGACAGACUAUUAUAGUAUGUAUAAUACAUCCCAUCUAUCAAAUCUUCAUAGAAAAUAGCAUAAUAAACAUAUAUGAAUCACAAUCAGAGGUUGUGAAACAUCACUUAGUCGCAAAAUAAACACAUUAUGACCCUGUGAAAAAUAGAAUACUAUGUUCAAAAUACUACACGACUGGCCUGAGUCGAGUUUCAGUUCAAACAUAGGGCAAAGUAAGCUUGGUCCACAUACAAUAAUGUCACUGUACAUAUUUUUUUAAUUUCCAUUUGAAUAUGCACCUUAUGGCAACAGCAUAAGGUACGUUUUGGUCAGGAAAGCUAUUUCAUCUGUAUUGAAUAUCAGAAUCGAUUGCUUAACUCACAUACUGGAAUAUUGAGUAACAAUCAAUUUAUUGCAUUAAUUUUGAAACUCGACGGGCAGAAUAGCCAACUCACCAUCUCUUUCUAUUGAGUACAAUUCUAAAGAGAUGGAUGCAACUUGGAGUCGUGUAGACUUUAGGUAAAUUCAUUAUUUUACAUUACAAUGACUUGUAUUAUUUAAUCAAAUAAUGUUUGCGAAGCCCACUACUAUUUAGGCUAUUCUUUAUAUAUCGGAUGCUAUGUAUAAAUAAGCUAUAUAUAUCGUAGCGAGCCGUAGGAUAAACAUACAAUACAAUAAAUGUUAUUUAUGAAUGUAAAUAUUAUCAAAUUAUAUAAAUGAGUUCUGAAUUAUGCCGCACUGUAUCUUAUUCAAAUUAUAUUAAUUAUAUUCCCUACCAAAUUGCUUUAAGCUUGGUUGUAAUAAAAAUAGUUGUUCCGAAGAACAUAGAACAUUUAAUGCUAUUUAAUUUAAAUAUUUCUCAAUACUGAAAAAUUAAAUUGUAUAUUUGAACAUUUGUGCUUAGAAAAUUUCCGACCUCAAUCAUUUCAGUAUUUGGGAUGUAAAAAGAUAUAUUUAACGAGAAAUAUUACCGUGCCUUUAAGAACACCACAGGACCUGCCGCGAACACCGUAGUUCGCAAAUUGCGGGCAUCUUUCUCUGUCACUCUAAUUACGCCUUUAUUAGAGUAAAGGAGAAAGAUGCCCGCAAUUUGCGAACUUGAUGUUCGCGGUAGGCCAACAAAGCGUGGCAUGGUUCAGAACUGAGGGGUUACCGCGAAAACCGAAAUUCGCAAAUUGCGGGCAUCUUUCUCUUUUACUCUAAUGAAGGCGUAAUUAGAGUGACAGAUAAAGAUGCCCGCAAUUUGCGAACUUCGAUUUUCGCGGUUACAGCCCUGUGUGUGCCUGCGUGUAUACGCACCGGAAUAUAAGGACACGCCUUCACAUGUGCACCCGACAGUUUGAGCCCGAAUCUUGGCUUUAGGGCUCAUCAGGGCUUGACCUAAUGUUCGUACUUCAUUUUGAAUAUUGGAUAAUCUCGGGUUGUCUUUAAAGUCGAAACGGCUGCCGUCUUUUCGCUCUUUUGCUUGGUAUUCCACCUGUCCAAUGUGCAUUGCGUCUCACUCUCUCAUUAAGCAAAAUGUGACCAAGAAAUUGGAUAGGUGGAAUACCACCCUAAGCCAUGACUGGCCGGUUUUCACAUGGUUUUAAAUAUAUAAAAACCGGUCACUCACGUCGAUCGGUUAGCCGACGAAUCGUGCCGAGCAAUAUUCGACUUAAAAACAUGAAUGAUCCGUGUUAAUAUAUUUUAAAUAGGGGAAUAUUACGCAAAAAAUAGUGUAGCAUUAGCACAAAGAGUAAACAAACCGCCUUGAUGCAUCAAUGUCAUAUUUAUUCGUAACAAAUAAUCUGUGAAAAAAUGUCAAAAAACUGUUUACGACAUAUAGUAUAAAAAUAUAUAAGUUACGCUAUAGUUUACGGUUUGAGCUAGUGCUGCACUCUGGCGGCAGAACAUUGCAGUAAUACUCCCUAUUCAAAUAAUGUGUAAACUAUUAAGAUAUCAGACUUUAAAUUAUCCAAUCACAAGUGCUUCAAAAAUGAUGUCGUCUUUAUUUCGCCUUGAAAUUUAGACACAGAUGCUAGAACGUUCUAGGUUUGUAUAACUCAAGUCUAUGGAUAUUUUAGUUAAAUAGUUUAAGAUAAGGCUGGAAUAGACUACCUAAAACCUAAUUAAUCUUAAGAUACUGAGACACAAGCAUAGCUCUCGGCACAUAUUAAACUUAUAAAAGAGUGAAUGACUAUAUAAUAAUAUUCAUAAGAGCUGGCGCGAAACUUGUACUGAACUGUCAACAUUUUCAUAUAAAAUCCGCGACAUCUAUCGUGAAUCAGCGUUAUACUAAGUAAUAUUUGUAACUGACCCUCGAUGAACCUUAAAUCUAUUCAAUAAGGUCUAUUAUCAGUUAACAGUGUAGACCAUAUGUGCGAGAGCAAAUAAUGUUUGUCUUCAAUCCCUAAUUUGCGUAUAACGCAAUUCCCUUACCCAUAGCAUAGAAUAAUAUAGGUAAAUAAAGAGUGGUAACUCCAUACAUCAGUUUUGCCAAAACGCGCGUUAUUUCGUUGUCGACAUCUAGCGUUAAGUAGCGGAAUAUACCAGUACUGCUACUGCUAGUCGACAAUAGAUGUCGCGGCGAACAAAAACUCUAAUGCUCAACAAUUUUCAGCCUAUAAUAUAACCGGAUUACUCAAAAUUCUAUUUUGAACUCCUUCGGCUUCUAAGAUUAGUUGUAAACAAAUGUUUUAGCAGUACAUUUUUCGCCAUUACACUUGUGCCAUCUGCUGUCAAGUAGCGGUACUGAUAGUUCCACUACUUGACGUUAGAUGUCAACUACGAAAUAACGCGCGUUUUGGUAAGAAAACUGAUGUAUGGAGUAACCACUCUUUCUUUACUUAUGACCAUAGCAUGAUCGCAGCUAGCGAUAAUUCGUACUCGUAUUCUAUGUGAGUCUCGAAUUAGUUUUUAGAAAUAAAUAAACACCGGAAUUAUGAAUGAAUAACUAACAAUAAUUAUCUGUAAAUGGAGCGUCGAUGUAAAAUAAUUUAAUUUUGUAAUCAUUAUUUAUUCGAUCAUAGUAAUAUAUGGCAUAGAAUAAAUAAUAGUACAGAAGGUUCACUCUCUAACAAAACGCGUCUAUUACGACAGAUAUGACCGCAAGGUGGCGCAAACACGAGCAGGCGUCCGUUCCAUAGCGGUACGCGGCAACUACUACUGCUAGACACCAAAACUGGUGGUAAAUACAUGGGGUAUUUGUAGCGACGCAACAAAAUCGCGGAGUGAGCCACGCCUGUCUAUGGUUAAAUUACAGUUUUCUUUAUGCACUCUAGAAUAUUUUUCAGAUCCUUACAGGUUACCCAGUAAAUAGUUUUUCUUUUACGUUUCUUGAUACAUGAAACUUUCAAUAGUUAUGUAACGAAAUUUGUGUUACGAAAAAAUAAGUGUAUUGAGGAUACAAAGUCCUACGCCAUUUUAGUAAUUUUUUUUCAAGUCGCACUUCAAAUUUUAAUGGUUUAAUAUGUUACUAUGGUCGAAUAUUUCAAAUAAGAUGUUACAAUAAUAGGAUUAUUUAUUUUUUACAUAACGUUACAUAAGUAUUAUAUAGAAGCGUUCUAAUUUUCUACCGAUCCGUGCCAAAUGUACCUACGACCGGGUUAGUUUUGUGCGGUCUUUUCACUAUAUCUGGUUGUAUUAUAUAUCGGGAACAAAUUUUUGUACGAAAACUGAUGUCUUGAUUUUUUUUGUUGAUUUAUUUUUAAUUCCAUAUUUUUGGCGGUUGACAGCUUAAAUUUUUGGACGCCGUACAUUUGAAAAAAUUAUACGUACUUACUACAAAAAAGUUUAAAAACACGUUGGUUGAUUCGACAUUUUGUUCACACGCCACUUACCCCGGCUACACACGUUAACUAUAAAUCGUAGCGAUUAAUCUGUGCAUUCCGAUUUGCGCAGUUUUAUCUACCGUGUGUAUGACAAAUCGUUGUCGAUUAUCGUAACGAUUUGUCAUACACGCGGUAGAUAAAACUGCGCCAAUCGGACUGCACAGAUUAAUCGCUACGAUUUAUAGUUAACGUGUGUAGCCGGCAUUAGGCGAUGUCGGUAUCCAAAAAGAUAAGUACUUUUAUGCAACUGAAAAAGAAAAAAACACAGGGACCGACUACACCAAAAUACAGAUAAUACCUACCUAGUCGAUAUUCGAUAUUAUUUGCGGUCAUAAAAUUGUAUCUAGGUACUAAUCAUCACUCAGUCUCAUUACUAAUCAUCACUCAGUCUCAUUACUAAUCGUCAAUCAGAAAAUCGCAAGUAAAUGACUGUUGCGUCAAUUUUGAUGAAAUAAGGACGCUAGCACGAAGAAUUUAGCACAUUGACCCCCAUGUUCCUAUCCCUAUUGCACGCGCGUUAUAUUGCUGUCCCGCACAUGUCGGCGGUCAAUGCCACUGUGGGAGCGAGACAACAAUAUAAUUAUGCGCGUGCGAUAUAGAUAGGAACCGACGGGCAAUGUGCGAAAGUCUUCGUGCCUGGCGUCCUCAUUUUAGUACGUACCUGCUACUUUUCAAUCGCAUAAUAGUAGUUAGGGCAGCUGUCAGGUCAAAAUGAUCUUUAUUGUGUUUACAUAUAAAAUGUUCUUUCCAAUAACAAGGCAUCUACUUGAAAAGGUUUCACAGUCCACAACAUACUGUAUUUCUCAAACGCUAGUCACGAGUUUUGUUACCUAUAUAAACUGUUUAUGUAUUUUGUAACUUAUAUGAUGUUAUAUUAGAAUGUAUUAAAACGGUACUGUCUUUGAAGCCA
Molecule: long non-coding RNA, 6137 nt
Organism: Cydia splendana
Lineage: Eukaryota; Metazoa; Arthropoda; Insecta; Lepidoptera; Tortricidae
Exons: 2
Source: RefSeq, a predicted model, not a curated record